ACUCCUGCGGGAGGCAGCAGUGGGGAAUAUUGCACAAUGGGCGCAAGCCUGAUGCAGCCAUGCCGCGUGUAUGAAGAAGGCCUUCGGGUUGUAAAGUACUUUCAGCGGGGAGGAAGGCGAUAAGGUUAAUAACCUUGUCGAUUGACGUUACCCGCAGAAGAAGCACCGGCUAACUCCGUGCCAGCAGCCGCGGUAAUACGGAGGGUGCAAGCGUUAAUCGGAAUUACUGGGCGUAAAGCGCACGCAGGCGGUCUGUCAAGUCGGAUGUGAAAUCCCCGGGCUCAACCUGGGAACUGCAUUCGAAACUGGCAGGCUAGAGUCUUGUAGAGGGGGGUAGAAUUCCAGGUGUAGCGGUGAAAUGCGUAGAGAUCUGGAGGAAUACCGGUGGCGAAGGCGGCCCCCUGGACAAAGACUGACGCUCAGGUGCGAAAGCGUGGGGAGCAAACAGGAUUAGAAACCCGGGUAGUCC
RNAcentral lists this ribosomal RNA (469 nucleotides) under uncultured organism. RNAcentral describes it as "partial 16S ribosomal RNA". It matches the Rfam family "Bacterial small subunit ribosomal RNA", at positions 335 to 796 of the family's 1533-position model. The record is from RNAcentral.